This 1688-nucleotide ribosomal RNA is filed under the name Cynoglossus quadrilineatus (fourlined tonguesole). RNAcentral's name for it is "16S ribosomal RNA". The stretch from base 92 to 1573 matches the Rfam family "Bacterial large subunit ribosomal RNA". The record is from RNAcentral. Lineage: Eukaryota; Metazoa; Chordata; Actinopteri; Pleuronectiformes; Cynoglossidae.
AACCGACUAAAUAGUCCAACCAAUAAAGCCCAAAAUCCCAAAAUAAACCAAAACAACAUUAAAAAUAAAAAUAAAACAUUUUAUUAUCUAAGUAAGAGCGACUGAAAAGAAAUUAAUGGAACGAUAAAGCAAGUACCGCAAGGGAAUGUUGAAAUAGAUGUGAAAGAGCCCAGUAAAGAUAAAUUAAGCAGAGAUUAAACCUUGUACCUUUUGCAUCAUGAUUUAGUAAGAAGAACUUAGGCAAGAAGACCCUUAGUCUAAGGCCCCGAAACUAAGUGAGCUACUCCAAGCCAGCAUAUUAAUAUAGUGCCAACCCGUCUCUGUUGCAAAAGAGUGGGAAGAGCUUCGAGUAGCGGUGAUAAGCCUAUCGGACUUAGUGAUAGCUGGUUUUCUGAGAACUGAAUAUGAGUUCAGCCUCUAAAAUUCUCCAAACAUACCUACCAAAUUAUACCAAUUUAAUAUAACCAGGCCAAAAAGAAAUUUAGAGAGUUAGUCAAAGGAGGGACAGCUCCUAUGAAUGAGAAACAACUCUAACUAGUAGGUCUAAGAUCAAAAUCCUCAAGGUAAAUUACUUACGUGGGCCUGAAAGCAGCCAUCCCUUAAGAAAGCGUUAAAGCUCAAGUAACACUACCACUAUAAAUUACGAAAAACUACUCUUACCCCACUUAACCUAUCAGAAUAUCUUAUACUUAUAUAAGAGAAAUUAUGCUAAAAUUAGUAACAAGAGGGUAGACCCUCUCCUUACAUAAGUGUAACUCGAAAUGGACUUACCUCCGAGAAAUAACGACCCCAAUAAAAGAGGGACUAGGAGAAAGUACUAAAUACUAGAAACACCUCCUACCCCAACCGUUAACCUUACACCAGAAUGUAAUUAAGGAAAGAUUAAAAGAAAAAGAAGGAACUCGGCAAGCACAAACCUCGCCUGUUUACCAAAAACAUCGCCUCUUGAAACAUUUACAUAAGAGGUCAUGCCUGCCCAGUGAUAAUAAUUCAACGGCCGCGGUAUUUUGACCGUGCAAAGGUAGCGUAAUCACUUGUCCCUUAAAUGGGGACCCGUAUGAAUGGUUUGACGAGGGUUUAACUGUCUCCUUUUUCCAAUCAAUGAAAUUGAUCUCUUCGUACAAAAGCGAAGAUUACCAUAUAAGACGAGAAGACCCUGUGGAGCUUAAGAUUAAUUAAUAGACUAUGCCUAGAUACCUGCACAACAGACUAAAAGCCUAAAGCUUACUAUAAAAAUCUUCAGUUGGGGCGACUACGGAGUAGACAAAACCUCCGAGAAGACCGAGAACAUUUGUACUCAAAACCUAGAGCCACUACCCAAAGUAACAGAAAUUCUGACUUUAAUUGAUCCAAACACUUGAUCAACGAACCAAGUUACCCCAGGGAUAACAGCGCAAUCCCCUUUAAGAGUCCUUAUCGACAAGGGGGUUUACGACCUCGAUGUUGGAUCAGGACAUCCUGAUGGUGCAGCCGCUAUCAAGGGUUCGUUUGUUCAACGAUUAAAGUCCUACGUGAUCUGAGUUCAGACCGGAGUAAUCCAGGUCAGUUUCUAUCUAUAAUAACGCUCUUUUCUAGUACGAAAGGACCGAAAAGAAAGGGCCCAUACCAAAAGCACGCCUUACUUUAACUUAAUGAAAACAACUCAAAAAAACAAAAAAGCACAUAAAUAAUAACUUUAGAAAAAAGUA